GAUGAACGCUGGCGGCGUGCUUAACACAUGCAAGUCGAACGGAAAGGCUCCUGCUUGCAGGGGUACUCGAGUGGCGAACGGGUGAGUAACACGUGGGUGAUCUGCCCUGCACUUCGGGAUAAGCCUGGGAAACUGGGUCUAAUACCGGAUAGGACCACAUUUUGGAUGGUGUGGUGGAAAGUUUUUCGGUGUGGGAUGGGCUCGCGGCCUAUCAGCUUGUUGGUGGGGUAAUGGCCUACCAAGGCGUCGACGGGUAGCCGGCCUGAGAGGGUGUACGGCCACAUUGGGACUGAGAUACGGCCCAGACUCCUACGGGAGGCAGCAGUGGGGAAUAUUGCACAAUGGGCGCAAGCCUGAUGCAGCGACGCCGCGUGGGGGAUGACGGCCUUCGGGUUGUAAACUCCUUUCGCUAGGGACGAAGCGCAAGUGACGGUACCCGGAGAAGAAGCACCGGCUAACUACGUG
This 465-nucleotide ribosomal RNA is filed under the name uncultured bacterium. Its description in RNAcentral is "partial 16S ribosomal RNA". It matches the Rfam family "Bacterial small subunit ribosomal RNA", at positions 28 to 507 of the family's 1533-position model. The record is from RNAcentral.